This 83-nucleotide transfer RNA is filed under the name Palleronia marisminoris. It matches the Rfam family "tRNA". Rfam says of the family: Transfer RNA (tRNA) molecules are approximately 80 nucleotides in length. Their secondary structure includes four short double-helical elements and three loops (D, anti-codon, and T loops). Further hydrogen bonds mediate the characteristic L-shaped molecular structure. tRNAs have two regions of fundamental functional importance: the anti-codon, which is responsible for specific mRNA codon recognition, and the 3' end, to which the tRNAs corresponding amino acid is attached (by aminoacyl-tRNA synthetases). tRNAs cope with the degeneracy of the genetic code in two manners: having more than one tRNA (with a specific anti-codon) for a particular amino acid; and 'wobble' base-pairing, i.e. permitting non-standard base-pairing at the 3rd anti-codon position. Lineage: Bacteria; Pseudomonadati; Pseudomonadota; Alphaproteobacteria; Rhodobacterales; Roseobacteraceae. The record is from Rfam by way of RNAcentral.
GCGGGCGUGAUGGAACGGUAGACAUAGGGGACUUAAACUCCCCAGGGGGAAACCCCGUGCGGGUUCGAAUCCCGCCGCCCGCA